UCCCUGGUGGUCUAGUGGUUAAGACUCUGUGCAGCCAACGCAGGGGGCACGGGUUUGAUUCCUGGUCGGGGAA
This 73-nucleotide transfer RNA is filed under the name Bos taurus (domestic cattle). It matches the Rfam family "tRNA". Rfam says of the family: Transfer RNA (tRNA) molecules are approximately 80 nucleotides in length. RNAcentral also lists the same sequence under 4 other names. Lineage: Eukaryota; Metazoa; Chordata; Mammalia; Artiodactyla; Bovidae. The record is from Rfam by way of RNAcentral.